GCGGGUGUAGCUCAGUUGGUUAGAGCGCCGGCCUGUCACGCCGGACGCCGCGAGUUCAAGUCUCGUCCCUCGCGCCA
RNAcentral lists this transfer RNA (77 nucleotides) under Thalassospira profundimaris. It matches the Rfam family "tRNA". Rfam says of the family: Transfer RNA (tRNA) molecules are approximately 80 nucleotides in length. Their secondary structure includes four short double-helical elements and three loops (D, anti-codon, and T loops). RNAcentral also lists the same sequence under 1 other name. Lineage: Bacteria; Pseudomonadati; Pseudomonadota; Alphaproteobacteria; Rhodospirillales; Thalassospiraceae. The record is from RNAcentral.